UUUGGAACUCAGGAGCAAACCGUUUAUGAUUAGCAAAUUCAUUAUGCUAUCCUUGGUACCUUAAGGGGACACUGUGGGCUUUCCUCCCCUGUUGUUAUUUUAAGGACAUAUGACAGGGAAGGAAGAGCCCUCCCUUUUCCAGCUGCCUCAAAGUAUUGUUUGCUGGAAAGUUUGCCGGAAUCUAGAUAGAAUCUUUCAAAAGAAAAUAAACAAGCAAAAAAUCCCUGCAGUCAUGAACUGUAGCCACAGCUGGAACUAUUGGAACAUUCCAGGAGAUGAAAACAAAGAUUCCCUCCUCCUUCCCUUCCAUCUUACUGAGAUCUACCAGGCUGAUUAAGCCACAGCAGAUCAGCAGAAUUCAACUGUCCAGAUAGAAAGGUGGACAUGGAAAAAUUGGGCUUUGCAAAUGGUCACCCAAUUCUUGCCUUCCUGGUCUCCAGAUCACCCUUCCUAUACCGCCACUCUGGAGAAAGAAGUACAGAACGCUAACAAGAAAGGGCUCUGAAAAACAAGUUGCAAAUCAUUAGGCCAGAUGGUGUAAGGUCUGUCUUCAACAAAAGUUUUGAUUCUCUGAGUGAAAGACAUGCUCUUGACAAUGGACAGUGGGAUGAAGUGGUCUCAGAGGAGGUGGCCAUAUACCAGGGGGAGCUUCUUGGAAGAAGUGAGUUGGAAAGUUAAAAUCUGGGUGUUUCUAGCAGUUGGUGAACCUGGAAGAGAAGUUGUAAUUCCCAAAGAGAGGAUGGCUUGGAGUUGCAGUGGUCACCUCAGAUCUUAAGGUCACUUUGGAGAUGGAACCCCUGUGACUAGGAAUGGCAGAACAGAAAGGUAGAAAGAGAUUGAGUCCUGGGGAUGUGGCAGAGCCACCAUCCUAGCCCCGUACUGCGUACUUCUGGACUUCCUUUAAAACUACCUCAAGGCCUCUUUCAUCAAGGAGAGGCCCAUAUGAUUAGUUUUCACCAGUGAGCUAGAUACAGAGGACCUAACAUACAACUCAGAGUCCCUAGAAGAUGGAGAAAACACAGACAAUUGGCAGAGGAGAUGAGCAUGUGAUUAUUGUUACCACUUGUCUGGAAGCAACCAGAAUGGAGUGGGGAAGACUCAAGGAGGAGAUCUUCACAGGACUCACCUCUCAUCACAGCUCCCGUGUGGUUGUAAUCACCCCAGAGGGAAAAAUAAUUUCGGUUUUUUAUGGUUUAAUUAUUGGUGAUAGCAGCUGUUUUGAAGACACAAACACAGAAGCAAGUUCUAGAACAUACUCACAGUUUCCUUGGUCACAGUGUUGUCAGUGGUUCUAUAAAGGUCUUAUGAAUCUCUACUUAGUUGACCACAAGUAGUAAGCAAGAAACAAUCCUGUAAAGAGAAUGGAGGUCAGAAUAAAGAAGCCUUGAGGGUUUAAAUCGCUUCUUGAAAAGAAAUGCCCGUGUGUCAAGGAGCUAAGGGAGACCAGCCCAGGAGGAGCUGAAUCCUGCCAACAAUCACUUGAGUGAACUUGAGAGUGAAUCCUCUCCAUGUUAAGCCUUGAGGUGAUUGUAGCUCCAUCAAAUACCUUCAUUGUAGCCUUGUGAGAGAUCUGAGUCAGAGGAUGGAGUUAAGCCAAGCCCAGAUUCCAGACCCUCAGAAACCAUGGAGUGGAGUUAAAAAUAAAUACAUGAAUGAAGAUGCUGCAAGCCAGUGAGAUAUGCACCCAGAGAAGGCAACCCAAACAUGGUAGUGCACUGAAUUGUUUUGUAUGUGUCUGUUUCUCCUCUCCUCUCUGGCUUCACAUCUUCACUUUGGAAAAGUGAAAGCGGAAUACCUGGUUAUCCGGAGGUCACUGUCUCCACACAGAGUGGUGUCCUUGAUGCUAGCUUGGGGCAAAGAAGCCAAACCCAGACUACCCAACUUCUCAUCUCUAUGGUCUUGGGGCCAGCUUGUGGUUGCAAUAGGAAUAGAAGAGACUUCCUUACUCCAAUCCCACCCUACCCCCUCAUCCUGCCUCAACCAGUCAUGCAGAGAGAUGCUGAAUGGCUGCCUGCUCUCAGGGGAAUGAUUUGUGGAGGCAAUCAAGGCUUUAAAUGCGUGGAUUUAUCAUCACCUCAAAUCGCCUGUCACUGUGAUGGAACAAAAAUAGAAAGUUGGGCUAAUAUCUUCCUGCUAGCAUGUUUCCAUCUGUGAGUUUGAUCAAAGCAACUUUAUCUGCGAAAUUUUGAAGAAUCAGCUUCAUCUCCACUUGGCAGCAUGUGGUAAAUGAAGGUAUUUCUGGAAAUCCCAUCUUCCCAGAAUUCAGCUAGGAUCCAGAAGUGAUGCUGUUACGUGACGUCUUCAACCUCCCUCCCUCUGCCCAUCUCAGGGACCUCUCCAGAAGCCAGUCCCAAGAGUGGCAUUGGUUAGCAUAUCUCAAAUACAGUGGGAGAAGCCUCUUAGCUCAGCUCCAGUUAUUUCUCUAUUGUAGAAAACCAAGAGAGAGAUGAAUAAGGAAUGAAAACAUACUCCACAUGGACUCAAUAAAUCUUGGGUGAAAUGAUGCUGUCUGACAAGGUAAAUAAAAAAUGCAGCACUCAAGCACCAGCACUGGGGAUGAGAUGAGGACACACCAAUUACCAGCACUUCUGCC
Molecule: long non-coding RNA, 2593 nt
Filed under: Homo sapiens (human)
Lineage: Eukaryota; Metazoa; Chordata; Mammalia; Primates; Hominidae
Description: long non-coding RNA NONHSAT178438.1
Source: RNAcentral